Molecule: ribosomal RNA, 467 nt
Filed under: uncultured bacterium
Lineage: Bacteria
Description: partial 16S ribosomal RNA
Rfam family: Bacterial small subunit ribosomal RNA
Source: RNAcentral
GACGAACGCUGGCGGCGUGCUUAACACAUGCAAGUCGAACGGAAAGGCCUCUUUCGGGGGGUACUCGAGUGGCGAACGGGUGAGUAACACGUGAGUAACCUGCCCUUGACUUUGGGAUAACUUCAGGAAACUGGGGCUAAUACCGGAUAGGAGCUCCUGCUGCAUGGUGGGGGUUGGAAAGUUUCGGCGGUUGGGGAUGGACUCGCGGCUUAUCAGCUUGUUGGUGGGGUAGUGGCUUACCAAGGCUUUGACGGGUAGCCGGCCUGAGAGGGUGACCGGCCACAUUGGGACUGAGAUACGGCCCAGACUCCUACGGGAGGCAGCAGUGGGGAAUAUUGCACAAUGGGUGGAAGCCCGAUGCAGCAACGCCGUGUGCGGGAUGACGGCCUUCGGGUUGUAAACCGCUUUCGCUCAUGACGAAGCUUUGUGUGACGGUAGUGGGUAAAGAAGCUCCGGCUAACUACGUG